UGGGUCUCAAUUUACGUUUGCGUGCACUCUUGAAAACAUUAGUUUGAUCAAUAACAUAGUUGCGAGGAGUUCUGGCGGCCCUGGACAGUAGGAUAUCAAAUAUUGCAUUUGCUCGACUCAUCAGGCGAUCAAAUCGUUCACCAUAAUUGUUCUUGCGCACUAGCCCAGGAACCUUCAUCUGAUCCAGAAUCAGGUUUGUUCCAAGCAAAACGUAACGCUUUUCGGGAUGUUCUUUCACCCAUUUAUCUGCCCAUGUUGUCUUACCCGAAGCGGGUAAACCCACCAUCAUCAUUACUUCACAAUCCCUUACAUCAGGGAAAACAGGUCCUUUUAUUGCAUUUCCAUCUUCAAGAGCUGAAACCCAAGGUUUAUACCCUUCUUCAGGAACAAGUCCAUCUUCAGCGCUAAAAUGCAAUUGAACCACAACAUUCUUUAAUAGAACAUGAGGAAAGAGGGCUGAUUCCCAUUGUAGCUCUUUCAUGGCAGAAUCCACCACUCCAAGACCCCUUGGACCAGCAUCAAAUUCCUUUGCAAUGCCCAACCA
This 544-nucleotide unclassified non-coding RNA is filed under the name Hevea brasiliensis (rubber tree). Lineage: Eukaryota; Viridiplantae; Streptophyta; Magnoliopsida; Malpighiales; Euphorbiaceae. The record is from RNAcentral.